ACUACGGGUGGCAGCAGUGAGGAAUAUUGGUCAAUGGGAGAGAUCCUGAACCAGCCAAGCCGCGUGAGGGAAGACGGCCCUAUGGGUUGUAAACCUCUUUUGUCGGAGAACAAAACACGGGACGUGUCCCGGCCUGCGUGUAUCCGAAGAAAAAGCAUCGGCUAACUCCGUGCCAGCAGCCGCGGUAAUACGGAGGAUGCGAGCGUUAUCCGGAUUUAUUGGGUUUAAAGGGUGCGUAGGCGGUCCGUUAAGUCAGCGGUAAAAUUGCGGGGCUCAACCCCGUCGAGCCGUUGAAACUGGCAGACUUGAGUUGGCGAGAAGUACGCGGAAUGCGCGGUGUAGCGGUGAAAUGCAUAGAUAUCGCGCAGAACUCCGAUUGCGAAGGCAGCGUACCGGCGCCAGACUGACGCUGAGGCACGAAAGCGUGGGGAUCGAACAGGAUUAGAUACCCCAGUAGUC
RNAcentral lists this ribosomal RNA (459 nucleotides) under uncultured bacterium. Its description in RNAcentral is "partial 16S ribosomal RNA". It matches the Rfam family "Bacterial small subunit ribosomal RNA", at positions 338 to 795 of the family's 1533-position model. The record is from RNAcentral.